This 2914-nucleotide ribosomal RNA is filed under the name Enterococcus durans. RNAcentral's name for it is "23S ribosomal RNA". It matches the Rfam family "Bacterial large subunit ribosomal RNA". Lineage: Bacteria; Bacillati; Bacillota; Bacilli; Lactobacillales; Enterococcaceae. The record is from RNAcentral.
GGUUAAGUGAAUAAGGGCGCACGGUGGAUGCCUUGGCACUAGGAGCCGAUGAAGGACGGGACUAACACCGAUAUGCUUUGGGGAGCUGUACGUAAGCUAUGAUCCAGAGAUUUCCGAAUGGGGAAACCCAACAUCUUUUAUAGGAUGUUACGUUUGCGUGAAUACAUAGCGCAUUCGAGGUAGACGCAGAGAACUGAAACAUCUAAGUACCUGCAGGAAGAGAAAGAAAAUUCGAUUCCCUGAGUAGCGGCGAGCGAAACGGGAAAAGCCCAAACCAAUGAGCUUGCUCAUUGGGGUUGUAGGACUCCAAUAUGGUAGUUCUUUCAGAUAAUCGAAUGACUUGGAAAAGUCAGUCAAAGAGGGUAAAAACCCCGUAGAUGAAAUUUGGAAGGCACCUAGGAGGAUCCUGAGUACGGCGGAACACGAGGAAUUCCGUCGGAAUCCGGGAGGACCAUCUCCCAAGGCUAAAUACUCCCUAGUGACCGAUAGUGAACCAGUACCGUGAGGGAAAGGUGAAAAGCACCCCGGAAGGGGAGUGAAAUAGAACCUGAAACCGUGUGCCUACAACAAGUCAAAGCCCGUUAAUGGGUGAUGGCGUGCCUUUUGUAGAAUGAACCGGCGAGUUACGAUUGCAUGCGAGGUUAAGUCGAAGAGACGGAGCCGCAGCGAAAGCGAGUCUGAAUAGGGCGUUUGAGUAUGUAGUCGUAGACCCGAAACCAUGUGAUCUACCCAUGUCCAGGUUGAAGGUGCGGUAAAACGCACUGGAGGACCGAACCCACGUACGUUGAAAAGUGCGGGGAUGAGGUGUGGGUAGCGGAGAAAUUCCAAACGAACUUGGAGAUAGCUGGUUCUCUCCGAAAUAGCUUUAGGGCUAGCCUCGGAUUUGAGAAUGAUGGAGGUAGAGCACUGUUUGGACUAGGGGCCCAUCUCGGGUUACCGAAUUCAGAUAAACUCCGAAUGCCAUUCAUUCAUAUCCGGGAGUCAGACUGUGAGUGAUAAGAUCCAUAGUCGAAAGGGAAACAGCCCAGACCACCAGCUAAGGUCCCAAAAUAUAUGUUAAGUGGAAAAGGAUGUGGGGUUGCACAGACAACUAGGAUGUUGGCUCAGAAGCAGCCACCAUUUAAAGAGUGCGUAAUAGCUCACUAGUCGAGUGACCCUGCGCCGAAAAUGUACCGGGGCUAAACAUAUUACCGAAGCUGUGGAGUACACCAUGAGGUGUAUUGGUAGGAGAGCGUUCUAAGGGCGUUGAAGGCAGAUCGUGAGGACUGCUGGAGCGCUUAGAAGUGAGAAUGCCGGUAUGAGUAGCGAAAGACAGGUGAGAAUCCUGUCCACCGAAUGACUAAGGUUUCCUGGGGAAGGCUCGUCCGCCCAGGGUUAGUCGGGACCUAAGCCGAGGCCGACAGGCGUAGGCGAUGGACAACAGGUUGAUAUUCCUGUACUCGUUGUUUUUGUUUGAGCAAUGGAGGGACGCAGGAGGCUAAGGAAUGCAGACGAUCGGAAAUGUCUGUCCAAGCAGUAAGUCUUGAUAGGAGUCAAAUGCUUCUGUCUACACGGAUAAGCUGUGAUGGGGAGGGAAAUAAUAGUACCGAAGUUCCUGAUGUCACACUGCCAAGAAAAGCUUCUAGUGAGAAAACAAUGACCCGUACCGCAAACCGACACAGGUAGUCGAGGAGAGAAUCCUAAGGUGAGCGAGAGAACUCUCGUUAAGGAACUCGGCAAAAUGACCCCGUAACUUCGGGAGAAGGGGUGCUGAUCUUCGAUCAGCCGCAGUGAAUAGGCCCAAGCGACUGUUUAUCAAAAACACAGGUCUCUGCAAAAUCGUAAGAUGAAGUAUAGGGGCUGACGCCUGCCCGGUGCUGGAAGGUUAAGAGGAGUGCUUAGCGUAAGCGAAGGUACGAAUUGAAGCCCCAGUAAACGGCGGCCGUAACUAUAACGGUCCUAAGGUAGCGAAAUUCCUUGUCGGGUAAGUUCCGACCCGCACGAAAGGCGUAACGAUUUGGGCACUGUCUCAACGAGAGACUCGGUGAAAUUUUAGUACCUGUGAAGAUGCAGGUUACCCGCGACAGGACGGAAAGACCCCAUGGAGCUUUACUGUAGUUUGAUAUUGAGUGUCUGUACCGCAUGUACAGGAUAGGUAGGAGCCGUAGAAAUCGGAACGCUAGUUUCGAUGGAGGCGCUGGUGGGAUACUACCCCUGCGUUAUGGCCACUCUAACCCGCACCACUGAUCGUGGUGGGAGACAGUGUCAGAUGGGCAGUUUGACUGGGGCGGUCGCCUCCUAAAAGGUAACGGAGGCGCCCAAAGGUUCCCUCAGAAUGGUUGGAAAUCAUUCGAAGAGUGUAAAGGCAGAAGGGAGCUUGACUGCGAGACCAACAAGUCGAGCAGGGACGAAAGUCGGGCUUAGUGAUCCGGUGGUUCCGCAUGGAAGGGCCAUCGCUCAACGGAUAAAAGCUACCCUGGGGAUAACAGGCUUAUCUCCCCCAAGAGUCCACAUCGACGGGGAGGUUUGGCACCUCGAUGUCGGCUCGUCGCAUCCUGGGGCUGUAGUCGGUCCCAAGGGUUGGGCUGUUCGCCCAUUAAAGCGGCACGCGAGCUGGGUUCAGAACGUCGUGAGACAGUUCGGUCCCUAUCCGUCGCGGGCGUUGGAAAUUUGAGAGGAGCUGUCCUUAGUACGAGAGGACCGGGAUGGACUUACCGCUGGUGUACCAGUUGUUCUGCCAAGGGCAUUGCUGGGUAGCUAUGUAGGGAAGGGAUAAACGCUGAAAGCAUCUAAGUGUGAAGCCCACCUCAAGAUGAGAUUUCCCAUUUCUUUAAGAAAGUAAGAUCCCUGAGAGAUGAUCAGGUAGAUAGGUCAGGAGUGGAAGGCCAGUGAUGGUUGGAGCGGACUGAUACUAAUCGAUCGAGGACUUAACCAA